GAGGGUAUAGCUCAGUGGUAGUGCGUGUGCCUAGCAUGCCUGAGGUCCUGGGUUCAAUCCCCAGUACCUCCA
RNAcentral lists this transfer RNA (72 nucleotides) under Camelus bactrianus (Bactrian camel). It matches the Rfam family "tRNA". From Rfam's summary of the family: Transfer RNA (tRNA) molecules are approximately 80 nucleotides in length. RNAcentral also lists the same sequence under 2 other names. Lineage: Eukaryota; Metazoa; Chordata; Mammalia; Artiodactyla; Camelidae. The record is from Rfam by way of RNAcentral.